This 164-nucleotide ribosomal RNA is filed under the name uncultured bacterium. RNAcentral's name for it is "partial 16S rRNA". It matches the Rfam family "Bacterial small subunit ribosomal RNA", at positions 355 to 511 of the family's 1533-position model. The record is from RNAcentral.
UAGGGAAUCUUCCACAAUGGACGAAAGUCUGAUGGAGCAACGCCGCGUGAGUGAAGAAGGGUUUCGGCUUGUAAAACUCUGUUGUUAAAGAAGAACAUAUCUGAGAGUAACUGUUCAGGUAUUGACGGUAUUUAACCAGAAAGCCAUGGCUAACUACGUGCCCG